RNAcentral lists this ribosomal RNA (567 nucleotides) under uncultured bacterium. RNAcentral describes it as "bacterial SSU rRNA". It matches the Rfam family "Bacterial small subunit ribosomal RNA", at positions 1 to 553 of the family's 1533-position model. The record is from RNAcentral.
UGAGUUUGAUCCUGGCUCAGAUUGAACGCUGGCGGCGUGCUUAACACAUGCAAGUCGAGCGAGAAAGCUCUCUUCGGAGAGUGAGUAGAGCGGCGCACGGGUGAGUAACGCGUGGGUAAUCUGCCCUGAAGAUCGGGAUAACAGUUGGAAACGACUGCUAAUACCGGAUGUCCUGCAUAUUUAACUUUAUGUGGAGAAGAUGGCCUCUAUUUAUAAGCUAUUGCUUCAGGAUGAGCCCGCGUCUCAUUAGAUUGUUGGUGGGGUAACGGCCUACCAAGUCGACGAUGAGUAGCUGGUCUGAGAGGAUGAUCAGCCACACUGGGACUGAAACACGGCCCAGACUCCUACGGGAGGCAGCAGUGGGGAAUAUUGCGCAAUGGGGGAAACCCUGACGCAGCGACGCCGCGUGCGGGAAGAAGGCUUUCGGGUCGUAAACCGCUGUCAGGAGGGAAGAAACUGUUUAGUCAUAAUACGGCUAUUCACUGACGGUACCUCCAGAGGAAGCACCGGCUAACUCCGUGCCAGCAGCCGCGGUAAUACGGAGGGUGCGAGCGUUAAUCGGAAUCA